UACGGGAAGGGCAAGCGUUGUCCGGAUUUAUUGGGUUUAAAGGGUGCGUAGGUGGCCUUAUAAGUCAGUGGUGAAAGCCUGCAGCUUAACUGUAGGACUGCCAUUGAAACUGUAAGGCUUGAGUAUUGAUGAGGUAGGCGGAAUUGAUAGUGUAGCGGUGAAAUGCAUAGAUAUUAUCAAGAACACCGAUUGCGAAGGCAGCUUACUAAGGAAUAACUGACACUGAGGCACGAAAGCGUGGGGAUCAAACAGG
This 253-nucleotide ribosomal RNA is filed under the name uncultured bacterium. RNAcentral's name for it is "partial 16S ribosomal RNA". It matches the Rfam family "Bacterial small subunit ribosomal RNA", at positions 524 to 776 of the family's 1533-position model. The record is from RNAcentral.